Molecule: ribosomal RNA, 116 nt
Filed under: uncultured bacterium
Lineage: Bacteria
Description: partial 16S ribosomal RNA
Rfam family: Bacterial small subunit ribosomal RNA
Source: RNAcentral
CGUUCCCGGGUCUUGUACACACCGCCCGUCACACCACGAGAGUUUACAACACCCGAAGUCGGUGGGGUAACCCGCAAGGGAGCCAGCCGCCGAAGGUGGGGUAGAUGACUGGGGUG